GCAGUCGACGAGCGAGAGAGAGCUUGCUUUCUCGAGCGAGUGGCGAACGGGUGAGUAACGCGUGAGGAACCUGCCUCAAAGAGGGGGACAACAGUUGGAAACGACUGCUAAUACCGCAUUAGCCCACGGGUCGGCAUCGACCAGAGGGAAAAGGAGCAAUCCGCUUUGAGAUGGCCUCGCGUCCGAUUAGCUAGUUGGUGAGGUAAUGGCCCACCAAGGCGACGAUCGGUAGCCGGACUGAGAGGUUGAACGGCCACAUUGGGGCUGAGACACGGCCCAGACUCCUACGGGAGGCAGCAGUGGGGAAUAUUGCACAAUGGGGGAAACCCUGAUGCGGCGACGCCGCGUGGAGGAAGAAGGUCUUCGGAUUGUAAACUCCUGUUGUUGGGGAAGAUAAUGACGGUACCCAACAAGGAAGUGACGGCUAACCACGUGCCAGCAGCCGCGGUAAAACGUAGGUCACAAGCGUUGUCCGGAAUUACUGGGUGUAAAGGGAGCGCAGGCGGGAAGACAAGUUGGAAGUGAAAUCUAUGGGCUCAACCCAUAAACUGCUUUCAAAACUGUUUUUCUUGAGUAGUGCAGAGGUAGGCGGAAUUCCCGGUGUAGCGGUGGAAUGCGUAGAUAUCGGGAGGAACACCAGUGGCGAA
This 647-nucleotide ribosomal RNA is filed under the name uncultured bacterium. RNAcentral's name for it is "bacterial SSU rRNA". It matches the Rfam family "Bacterial small subunit ribosomal RNA", at positions 57 to 719 of the family's 1533-position model. The record is from RNAcentral.